This 57-nucleotide transfer RNA is filed under the name Desulfobacteraceae bacterium. RNAcentral describes it as "tRNA-Thr". It matches the Rfam family "tRNA", at positions 8 to 63 of the family's 71-position model. From Rfam's summary of the family: Transfer RNA (tRNA) molecules are approximately 80 nucleotides in length. Their secondary structure includes four short double-helical elements and three loops (D, anti-codon, and T loops). Further hydrogen bonds mediate the characteristic L-shaped molecular structure. tRNAs have two regions of fundamental functional importance: the anti-codon, which is responsible for specific mRNA codon recognition, and the 3' end, to which the tRNAs corresponding amino acid is attached (by aminoacyl-tRNA synthetases). tRNAs cope with the degeneracy of the genetic code in two manners: having more than one tRNA (with a specific anti-codon) for a particular amino acid; and 'wobble' base-pairing, i.e. permitting non-standard base-pairing at the 3rd anti-codon position. The record is from RNAcentral. Lineage: Bacteria; Pseudomonadati; Thermodesulfobacteriota; Desulfobacteria; Desulfobacterales; Desulfobacteraceae.
UAGCUCAGGGGUAGAGCAGGUGAUUCGUAAUCAGCAGGUCGCGGGUUCGAAUCCCAC